GGGUUGUGAGGUUAAGCGACUAAGCGUACACGGUGGAUGCCCUGGCAGUCAGAGGCGAUGAAGGGCGUGCUAAUCUGCGAUAAGCGCCGGUAAGGUGAUAUGAACCGUUAUAACCGGCGAUACCCGAAUGGGGAAACCCAGUGUGACUCGUCACACUAUCAUUAACUGAAUCCAUAGGUUAAUGAGGCGAACCGGGGGAACUGAAACAUCUAAGUACCCCGAGGAAAAGAAAUCAACCGAGAUUCCCCCAGUAGCGGCGAGCGAACGGGGAGGAGCCCAGAGCCUGAAUCAGCAUGUGUGUUAGUGGAAGCGUCUGGAAAGGCGCGCGAUACAGGGUGACAGCCCCGUACACAAAAGCGCAUGUGCUGUGAGCUCGAUGAGUAGGGCGGGACACGUGGUAUCCUGUCUGAAUAUGGGGGGACCAUCCUCCAAGGCUAAAUACUCCUGACUGACCGAUAGUGAACCAGUACCGUGAGGGAAAGGCGAAAAGAACCCCGGCGAGGGGAGUGAAAAAGAACCUGAAACCGUGUACGUACAAGCAGUGGGAGCCCCACCACUAAGCCAGUGGUGAACUCCACAUACGCAUCCUUUGCUGAGGAUACGGUUAACGGAGCGAAAGCGACGUUCAACCGCAAAAGAAGCAGAGGGGGCUUAGUGGUGGGGUGACUGCGUACCUUUUGUAUAAUGGGUCAGCGACUUAUAUUCUGUAGCAAGGUUAACCGAAUAGGGGAGCCGGAGGGAAACCGAGUCUUAACCGGGCGUUAAGUUGCAGGGUAUAGACCCGAAACC
Molecule: ribosomal RNA, 789 nt
Filed under: Salmonella enterica subsp. enterica
Lineage: Bacteria; Pseudomonadati; Pseudomonadota; Gammaproteobacteria; Enterobacterales; Enterobacteriaceae
Also listed under: 1 other name
Description: bacterial LSU rRNA
Rfam family: Bacterial large subunit ribosomal RNA
Source: RNAcentral